GCCGAAGUAGCUCAGUUGGUAGAGCAGCUGAUUCGUAAUCAGCAGGUCACGGGUUCGAGUCCCGUCUUCGGCUCCA
This 76-nucleotide transfer RNA is filed under the name Verrucomicrobiota bacterium. RNAcentral describes it as "tRNA-Thr". It matches the Rfam family "tRNA". From Rfam's summary of the family: Transfer RNA (tRNA) molecules are approximately 80 nucleotides in length. Their secondary structure includes four short double-helical elements and three loops (D, anti-codon, and T loops). RNAcentral also lists the same sequence under 2 other names. The record is from RNAcentral. Lineage: Bacteria; Pseudomonadati; Verrucomicrobiota.